UACGUAGGGUGCGAGCGUUAAUCGGAAUUACUGGGCGUAAAGCGUGCGCAGGCGGUUUUGUAAGCCAGAUGUGAAAUCCCCGGGCUUAACCUGGGAAUGGCAUUUGGGACUGCAAGGCUUGAGUGCGGCAGAGGAGACUGGAAUUCCCGGUGUAGCAGUGAAAUGCGCAGAUAUCGGGAGGAACACCUAUGGCGAAGGCAGCUCGCUGGGACGUUACUGACGCUGAGACGCGAAAGCGUGGGGAGCAAACAGG
This 253-nucleotide ribosomal RNA is filed under the name uncultured bacterium. RNAcentral describes it as "partial 16S ribosomal RNA". It matches the Rfam family "Bacterial small subunit ribosomal RNA", at positions 524 to 776 of the family's 1533-position model. The record is from RNAcentral.